Molecule: small RNA, 277 nt
Filed under: Pongo abelii (Sumatran orangutan)
Lineage: Eukaryota; Metazoa; Chordata; Mammalia; Primates; Hominidae
Description: processed transcript
Source: RNAcentral
GCCCGUGGCCCCGUUUCUCCCCCAGGCAGUUCCUGUGGAGCUUCCGGCUGCCCGGCGAGGCCCAGAAGAUAGACCGGAUGAUGGAGGCCUUUGCCACCCGAUACUGCCUCUGCAACCCGGGCGUCUUCCAGUCCACAGGUGAUGCGCCCGCCUUGGCCUCCCACAGUGCUGAGAUUACAGGCAUGAGCCACCAUGCCAAGCCAAAGUUACUCAAUCCAUACAUCAACCGUUUGAAACACCUGCUACGUGCUGUCCUUCUCCAUCAUCAUGCUCAACA